RNAcentral lists this ribosomal RNA (253 nucleotides) under uncultured bacterium. RNAcentral describes it as "partial 16S ribosomal RNA". It matches the Rfam family "Bacterial small subunit ribosomal RNA", at positions 524 to 776 of the family's 1533-position model. The record is from RNAcentral.
UACAGAGGGUGCAAGCGUUGUUCGGAAUUACUGGGCGUAAAGCGCGUGUAGGCGGUUUUAUAAGUCGGUCGUGAAAGCCCUGGGCUUAACCCAGGAACUGCGAUCGAAACUGUGAGACUAGAGUAUCGGAGGGGGUGGCGGAAUUCCCGGUGUAGAGGUGAAAUUCGUAGAUAUCGGGAGGAACACCUGUGGCGAAGGCGGCCACCUGGAAGAUUACUGACGCUGAGACGCGAAAGCGUGGGGAGCAAACAGG